AAGACAUUACGAUGCGUUGCUCACAUUAUUAAGAAAAUCUAAAUAAAUUUGAUUAAUAAUAAUUGCUUUAUAGUUAGAUGAUAGACAAUAAUUAGCAGCUAUCCUUCUCUAUAUUGGCGGCCGCCGUGUGUGUGUGCGCGCGCAUAUUAUAUGUGUGUGUGUGUGUGCGCGCGGUGAAUGCUGAUUUAGAAUAUAGGGAUAGAGUUAAACCAUCCUGCAAAAUAUAUAUAUAUAUAUAUAUGUAUAGUGUUACAGCUAUAUGUGUGUGUGUGUGUGUGUAUAAUAAAAAUGUGGGAUGGAGUGUUUAUCUAACAGCAAAGAGCGACGUUCUAGAAAUCAUUAUGCUAUAUGAGCAAUCAUAUAAUAUAUGCCAUUUGAUGAUUACUCUCUGCGCUAUAUAACCAAAAGUGUGGGAGUAUAAUAUACGAAUGGAGUGUUAUAUUGUGCAUACAUGUGAUCGGUAAUGUUUGAUCAGGCACCAAUAGGACCCGUCUUGAAACACGGACCAAGGAGUUCAGCAUAUGUGCAAGCCAAUGGGAAAUCGUAUGAAACCUAAAGGCGCAAUGAAAGUAACUUGAUAGUAAAAUGAGAUUACGGGUCGAUGAGAAUCGAUGCCCUCCAUCUCAGGACGUUUUAUAUCGUUUGAUCGUUCACAACUAAAAGGUGAUGGUGUGUGGCGGUGACGGUGGUGGGUUGUUGGUGUAGAGUAGGAGAGUGUGUGAU
RNAcentral lists this ribosomal RNA (723 nucleotides) under Protaxymyia thuja. RNAcentral's name for it is "eukaryotic LSU rRNA". The record is from RNAcentral. Lineage: Eukaryota; Metazoa; Arthropoda; Insecta; Diptera; Axymyiidae.